AUUGAACGCUGGCGGAAUGCUUUACACAUGCAAGUCGAGCGGCAGCGCGGGGGCAACCCUGGCGGCGAGCGGCGAACGAGUGAGUAACAUAUCGGAACGUACCCAGUCGUGGGGGAUAACUAUCCGAAAGGAUAGCUAAUACCGCAUACGUCCUGAGGGAGAAAGCGGGGGAUCGCAAGACCUCGCGCGAUUGGAGCGGCUGAUAUCAGAUUAGGUAGUUGGUGGGGUAAAAGCCUACCAAGCCUUCGAUCUGUAGCUGGUCUGAGAGGACGACCAGCCACACUGGAACUGAGACACGGUCCAGACUCCUACGGGAGGCAGCAGUGGGGGAAUUUUGGACAAUGGGCGCAAGCCUGAUCCAGCAAUGCCGCGUGCAGGAUGAAGGCCUGGUUGUAACUAGCUUUGUUACGGAACGAAACGGUUCUCUCUAAUACA
RNAcentral lists this ribosomal RNA (435 nucleotides) under uncultured bacterium. Its description in RNAcentral is "bacterial SSU rRNA". It matches the Rfam family "Bacterial small subunit ribosomal RNA", at positions 30 to 466 of the family's 1533-position model. The record is from RNAcentral.